RNAcentral lists this ribosomal RNA (442 nucleotides) under uncultured bacterium. Its description in RNAcentral is "partial 16S ribosomal RNA". It matches the Rfam family "Bacterial small subunit ribosomal RNA", at positions 338 to 795 of the family's 1533-position model. The record is from RNAcentral.
CCUACGGGAGGCAGCAGUGGGGAAUAUUGGGCAAUGGGCGCACGCCUGACCCAGCAACGCCGCGUGAAGGAAGAAGGCUUUCGGGUUGUAAACUUCUUUUAAGCGGGACGAGCAGAAGACGGUACCUCUUGAAUAAGCCACGGCUAACUACGUGCCAGCAGCCGCGGUAAUACGUAGGUGGCAAGCGUUGUCCGGAUUUACUGGGUGUAAAGGGCUUGCAGCCGGGAAGACCAGGCAGAUGGGAAAUCCCGGGGCUCAACCGAAGAACGGCAUUCGAAACUGUUGUUCUUGAGUACCGGAGAGGUCAUCGGAAUUCCUUGUGUAGCGGUGAAAUGCGUAGAUAUAAGGAAGAACACCAGUUGCGAAGGCGGAUUACUGGACGGCAACUGACGGUGAGGCGCGAAAGCGUGGGGAGCAAACAGGAUUAGAUACCCCAGUAGUC